This 241-nucleotide ribosomal RNA is filed under the name uncultured Lactobacillus sp. RNAcentral describes it as "partial 16S ribosomal RNA". It matches the Rfam family "Bacterial small subunit ribosomal RNA", at positions 118 to 354 of the family's 1533-position model. The record is from RNAcentral. Lineage: Bacteria; Bacillati; Bacillota; Bacilli; Lactobacillales; Lactobacillaceae.
UACGUAGUCCCAAGAGAUCGGGAUAACACCUGGAAACAGAUGCUAAUACCGGAUAACAACAGAUGAUGCCUAUCAACUGUUUAAAAGAUGGUUCUGCUAUCACUCUUGGAUGGACCUGCGGUGCAUUAGCUAGUUGGUAGGGUAACGGCCUACCAAGGCGAUGAUGCAUAGCCGAGUUGAGAGACUGAUCGGCCACAUUGGGACUGAGACACGGCCCAAACUCCUACGGGAGGCAGCAGGG